Molecule: ribosomal RNA, 467 nt
Filed under: uncultured bacterium
Lineage: Bacteria
Description: partial 16S ribosomal RNA
Rfam family: Bacterial small subunit ribosomal RNA
Source: RNAcentral
GACGAACGCUGGCGGCGUGCUUAACACAUGCAAGUCGAACGGAAAGGCCCUGCUUUUGUGGGGUGCUCGAGUGGCGAACGGGUGAGUAACACGUGAGUAACCUGCCCUUGACUUUGGGAUAACUUCAGGAAACUGGGGCUAAUACCGGAUAGGAGCUCCUGCUGCAUGGUGGGGGUUGGAAAGUUUCGGCGGUUGGGGAUGGACUCGCGGCUUAUCAGCUUGUUGGUGGGGUAGUGGCUUACCAAGGCUUUGACGGGUAGCCGGCCUGAGAGGGUGACCGGCCACAUUGGGACUGAGAUACGGCCCAGACUCCUACGGGAGGCAGCAGUGGGGAAUAUUGCACAAUGGGCGGAAGCCUGAUGCAGCAACGCCGCGUGCGGGAGGACGGCCUUCGGGUUGUAAACCGCUUUCGCCUGUGACGAAGCGUGAGUGACGGUAAUGGGUAAAGAAGCACCGGCUAACUACGU